RNAcentral lists this ribosomal RNA (431 nucleotides) under uncultured Corynebacteriaceae bacterium. Its description in RNAcentral is "bacterial SSU rRNA". It matches the Rfam family "Bacterial small subunit ribosomal RNA", at positions 354 to 796 of the family's 1533-position model. Lineage: Bacteria; Bacillati; Actinomycetota; Actinomycetes; Mycobacteriales; Corynebacteriaceae. The record is from RNAcentral.
GUGGGGAAUAUUGCACAAUGGGCGGAAGCCUGAUGCAGCGACGCCGCGUGGGGGAUGACGGCCUUCGGGUUGUAAACUCCUUUCACCAUCGACGAAGGUUUUCUGACGGUAGAUGGAGAAGAAGCACCGGCUAACUACGUGCCAGCAGCCGCGGUAAUACGUAGGGUGCGAGCGUUGUCCGGAAUUACUGGGCGUAAAGAGCUCGUAGGUGGUUUGUCGCGUCGUCUGUGAAAUUCCGGGGCUUAACUCCGGGCGUGCAGGCGAUACGGGCAUAACUUGAGUACUGUAGGGGAGACUGGAAUUCCUGGUGUAGCGGUGAAAUGCGCAGAUAUCAGGAGGAACACCGGUGGCGAAGGCGGGUCUCUGGGCAGUAACUGACGCUGAGGAGCGAAAGCAUGGGUAGCGAACAGGAUUAGAAACCCCUGUAGUCC